Molecule: ribosomal RNA, 497 nt
Filed under: uncultured bacterium
Lineage: Bacteria
Description: partial 16S ribosomal RNA
Rfam family: Bacterial small subunit ribosomal RNA
Source: RNAcentral
GAUGAACGCUGGCGGCGUGCCUAAUACAUGCAAGUCGAGCGAACGGACGAGAAACUUGCUUUUCUGAUGUUAGCGGCGGACGGGUGAGUAACACGUGGAUAACCUACCUAUAAGACUGGGAUAACUUCGGGAAACCGGAGCUAAUACCGGAUAAUAUUUUGAACCGCAUGGUUCAAAAGUGAAAGACGGUCUUGCUGUCACUUAUAGAUGGAUCCGCGCUGCAUUAGCUAGUUGGUAAGGUAACGGCUUACCAAGGCCACGAUGCAUAGCCGACCUGAGAGGGUGAUCGGCCACACUGGAACUGAGACACGGUCCAGACUCCUACGGGAGGCAGCAGUAGGGAAUCUUCCGCAAUGGGCGAAAGCCUGACGGAGCAACGCCGCGUGAGUGAUGAAGGUCUUCGGAUCGUAAAACUCUGUUAGUAGGGAAGAACAUAUGUGUAAGUAACUGUGCACAUCUUGACGGUACCUAAUCAGAAAGCCACGGCUAACUACGUG